GAAAAAUUAUAUCAUACAAUAAGUUCAAAUCAUUUCUCAACAAUUUUGGCGGGUGUGAAUAAUGUAUAAUAAUAUAAUUGGAGGAGAAAUUCAUAAUAGAUCCCCAGCGACAUUACCAACACGGACAGUUAUUAUCGUUCCUUUGGGAAAUAACCGGAUCCCCGCGGCCUAUAGAGGGACGGCGCAAGUGCAGCUCGAGGCAGUCUGUCUCAACACGCGAGGAGCCGUACGUACGCGAGAAUAGUCGAGGAGAGUACCGACGCGAGUCUCGCGGUCAGCGCGCAGUCGGACAGUCGGAGUCUGAAGGAGGAGGAGUAAACAGUUAGUCAACCAGACCGCGCGUGGAAGGAGGUGGUGUGAGUGAGAACGUUGGUAAAGAACAAGCAUUGGAAGCGUCGGGCAGCAAGAGGCCCGCAGGACACAGAAGAACGAGCAGUCCAAGUGAAGAGUAAUCCUCGGAGUGGAGGAGCAAGAACCUGGCGUGUUCGAAAGGGACAGUGGAAUCAGUGGUCGGCAAAGGUGGUCCCAGGCCGAGCGUUGCCUCAACCCGUGGACGAUACACCUUGCCCCAUAACAUCCUAAUCCCGGUCAGGUCGACACGUCGUCCAUUGUCAAGGAAGCAAACGCCGCAGGAGCAGCGCGAUCACCGGAGGAGUCAGCCGUUAAAACAUUACAAUAAAUCGACUAAAAUUAGAACCUCUGCUUUUCCUUGGUCGUGCAAUCACACAAAUCAUAAAUUAGAAAAUCAGUUCGUUACAGCCAUUCAAUGCAAAAUUAAGGACUUUUUGUUUACCUUUAUGGAUUUUUUUAAUCGUUUAUAUGUUUUUUAUCAACAUGAAGAAAAUAAUAAGAAAACUAUUAACAAUGAACGAUAAAAACAACUGAAUCCAAGUUUGCGUAAUUUUGACACUUUCAAAAAAUUCUUUGCACACUUUUAUUUUGUUUUCUAUUUUGCUCCCUUUCCGAGAAAUUUCUAUAAACAAAUUGUACAUAAUCGUCGUUUAAGCUUUAUGCGUUGUGUAAGUAGCCGAUUUUUAUGGAUUUGGUUGUGAAAUUUGCUCAAUUUUGCAUCGUUGUGAAAUUUAGAAAUGCCUGGCAAUAGAUUGAGUUUUGCAAUAGUUCAACCAAAGACACUAGAAUAACAAGAUGCGUAACGCCAUACGAUUUUUUGGCACACGAUUUUUUCGCCGUGGCUCUAGAGGUGGCUCCAGGCUCUCUCGAAUUUUUGUUAGAGAGCGAGAGAGCGGAGAGCGCUACAGCGAACAGCUAUUUUCAUCGCAUAAAGUGAUAGCAGACAACUGUAUGUGUGCACACGUAUGCUCAUGCAUUGUAAAUUUGACAACAUAUGCCCUUCACCUUAGAAGUUCUUUGACUUUAAAUCUAUAUUAUUUUUGAUCAAUUGGCACCAUGCGAAAAAUUCUUGUUUUGCAUUAUUAUUAUUAUAUGAAAAUAGAUUAGAAAUAGCCAAAUCUAUGUACAUAUCAGAAAAAUAAAUUUCAAAAAUGACUUUAUAUAAGAAUAUUUGUCAUUAGAGUAUUCAUCUUGCGGCGUGUGAAAAAUUAAUAAGGCAAUGAUUGUUGAGUGCUUGUGUCCGCACUUCGUGCCUCAAGAUAUGAACCAAGGAAAGACACUAGAAUAAUUGUAGUGUCUUUGAUAUUACUUUUGCAAUAAACAGUUAUCAUAUUUAAUUAUUUAGUAUAUUUAUUAAAUCAUUUGACUUAAUAUGAUGUAACAUUAACAUUAAAAGUGUUUCAAAAAAAAUAUUUCGCUUUUAAAAUAUUGUCAGAUGAGAGACAAAUUAGAAUUAAACAUAAAUAUAAAUGUGUAAACGGUAGCUAAUUCGAGCGGCGAUUUUAACAAACAAAUUUAAUAAGCUUUAAAAUUAUAAAAGUCAGGUCGCGAAUUUUUAAAAAUUAUUUUAUUUUAUCAUAUUGCUACGAAAUUGGCAAAAACUACCCUAAUAUGUACAAUGUAAAUUCGUUUCUUCGAUCAGAAUUGAUUUCGGCCCGAAAACCUUCUUCUAGCACAACACACACACAUAUACGCGUUCUCGUCUCUUGUUUUUACUCACACAAGCAAGCAAAUUCUAUUUUUAGAUUUCUUACGCUCUCAGCGUGAGCGAGCGGAAAGAGAGCAACUUUGGCCGUCUCUAAAAAAGUGGCUGCAUAGUGCAAAACCAAUGUAUGGCCGUUACGCAUCUUGUUAUUCUAGUGUCUUUGGUUCAACUGAUUUAUUAUAAUCACCAUUUGGGAAAAUCUGUCACGAAAUUGUCAGAAAUGUUUUCUGCAUCGCGGAGAACAGUUUAAUUGCGCAGAAAACAAGGGCAGAUUGGAAUCAAAUUGUGGAACAGAAGAAGUGUGACCCCCAGCAUAAGGCGCAUAAUGUGCGGAACUGCCUGCUUUACAACUGCGGCAAGGUCAUCGAUAGAGUCCAGAUCUGAUGUGGGUUCAUUUGAAGAAAAAAGUCGCAAAAAGGUCACCAAACAACCGAUCAGCACUGAGCUGCUAUACUAGAAGAGUGGCAUAAGAUCCCACAACAAUAUGAUCUUUAAAAGUUAUUUUUUCAAUGAAAAAAACGCCUAUAAUAUGUUAUUAAUGCUAAGGGUAUGCAUACAAAGUAUUAGAAUUACCUCAAGCUUUUAUAAUUUGUUAUAAACUAUAAGUCUAAGAUAGCUUAAGUACUUUGUGCAAACAAUUUUUUUGUUGUUUUAGUUGUUUUUAGUUGUUUUUCUCGUUCAGAAAAUUUGUGGGUUCAUUUGAAGAAAAAGUGGCAAAAAGGUCACCAAACAAUUACCUCAAGUUAUUAUAAUUUGUUAUAAACUAUAAGUCUAAGAUAGCUUAAGUACUUUGUACAAACAAAUGUCAAAUCUGUACAAACUUGGAUUUAGUUGUUUUUCUCAUUCAUUGUUAAUAGUUUUGUUUUUUUGUUUUGUUUUACAUAUUGAUAAAAAAA
Non-coding RNA from Drosophila melanogaster (fruit fly), 2952 nucleotides. The record is from Ensembl. Lineage: Eukaryota; Metazoa; Arthropoda; Insecta; Diptera; Drosophilidae.